This 467-nucleotide ribosomal RNA is filed under the name uncultured Desulfovibrio sp. RNAcentral's name for it is "bacterial SSU rRNA". It matches the Rfam family "Bacterial small subunit ribosomal RNA", at positions 921 to 1382 of the family's 1533-position model. The record is from RNAcentral. Lineage: Bacteria; Pseudomonadati; Thermodesulfobacteriota; Desulfovibrionia; Desulfovibrionales; Desulfovibrionaceae.
CCGCACAAGCGGUGGAGUAUGUGGUUUAAUUCGACGCAACGCGCAGAACCUUACCUAGACUUGACAUCCCGGGGAUUUUCUGGAAACAGAGAAGUGCUUUAGCAAUAAAGAACCCGGUGACAGGUGCUGCAUGGCUGCCGUCAGCUCGUGUCGUGAGAUGUUGGGUUAAGUCCCGCAACGAGCGCAACCCUCGCCUUUAGUUGCCAGCAUUCAGUUGGGGCACUCUAGAGGGACUGCCGGUGUCAAACCGGAGGAAGGUGGGGAUGACGUCAAGUCCUCAUGGCCUUUAUGACCAGGGCUACACACGUACUACAAUGGCCGGUACAAAGGGCAGCCACUUAGCGAUAAGGAGCCAAUCCCGUAAAGCCGGUCUCAGUCCGGAUUGGAGUCUGCAACUCGACUCCAUGAAGUUGGAAUCGCUAGUAAUCGCAGAUCAGCACGCUGCGGUGAAUACGUUCCCGGGCCUU